Long non-coding RNA from Phalaenopsis equestris, 554 nucleotides. RefSeq lists it as uncharacterized. The transcript is spliced from 3 exons. The record is from RefSeq and is a predicted model, not a curated record. NCBI's taxonomy places the organism in Eukaryota, Viridiplantae, Streptophyta, Magnoliopsida, Asparagales, Orchidaceae.
UUGAAACAAUUGGUUCAGGAGGGCCUUACAGCCACACUAAGCAAACUUCAGAUUUUCUCUGUGCCAACUAUUCUUUUUUUUCAUAACGGGGAAAAAUCUUCGGAAAUUGUGGGUGCCGAUGUGACAAAGCUCAAACAGACAAUGGAGGGACUUUACAAGAAGGACUAGCCAAAUCAUAAUGACAUGAAGGAUUAGAGCGUGGAAGCUCUUUAUUGAGAGAUUUGAUGCCUAGAUUGCUAUAUUGUGCUUCUCUAGAGUAUUUUUCUCUUCCCUAUAUUAUCUUUCUAUAGGGGAACCUUGUUGUUUCACGCCUAACUUUUGAACUGUAAUUGUACGAUAUGUUUCUGACAAUUAAAGAAGAAUGUUACCCUUUAUAAAAUUUGGUUAUUUGGAGUCGCCUUACUUUUAUGGUCAGUCAAAAUAAAGUGCUUUUGUUAUAUUUGUCUUUAGAAGGUGCCCCAAACAUUAUUAAUAUUACAGGACACAACUUCAGUCACUUCUGACGAAAAAUAACCCUGACCUGUAAAUUUUGUGAAUUGUUGAAGUUAUUUUGC